This 393-nucleotide ribosomal RNA is filed under the name uncultured bacterium. Its description in RNAcentral is "bacterial SSU rRNA". It matches the Rfam family "Bacterial small subunit ribosomal RNA", at positions 362 to 772 of the family's 1533-position model. The record is from RNAcentral.
UAUNGCACAACGGGGGAAACCCUGAUGCCGCNCCGCCGCGUGAGUGAGGAAGUAUUUCGGUAUGUAAAGCUCUUUCAGCAGGGAAGAAAAUGACGGUACCUGACUAAGAAGCCCCGGCUAAUUACGUGCCAGCAGCCGCGGUAAUACGUAGGGGGCAAGCGUUAUCCGGAUUUACUGGGUGUAAAGGGAGCGUAGACGGAAUUGCAAGUCUGAUGUGAAAAUCCGGGGCCCAACCCCGGAACUGCAUUGGAAACUGUAUUUCUAGAGUGUCGGGGAGGCAAGUGGAAUUCCUGGUGUAGCGGUGAAAUGCGUAGAUAUCAGGAGGAACACCAGUGGCGAAGGCGGCUUGCUGGACGAUGACUGACGUUGAGGCUCGAAAGCGUGGGGAGCAAA